Molecule: ribosomal RNA, 110 nt
Filed under: Pseudomonas nitroreducens
Lineage: Bacteria; Pseudomonadati; Pseudomonadota; Gammaproteobacteria; Pseudomonadales; Pseudomonadaceae
Also listed under: 2 other names
Source: RNAcentral
GACCAUAGAGCGUUGGAACCACCUGAUCCCAUCCCGAACUCAGUAGUGAAACGACGCAUCGCCGAUGGUAGUGUGGAGUUUCUCCAUGUGAGAGUAGGUCAUCGUCAAGC